RNAcentral lists this ribosomal RNA (253 nucleotides) under uncultured archaeon. RNAcentral's name for it is "partial 16S ribosomal RNA". It matches the Rfam family "Archaeal small subunit ribosomal RNA", at positions 474 to 727 of the family's 1478-position model. The record is from RNAcentral.
UACCUGCAGCUCAAGUGUUGGCCGCUAUUAUUGGGCCUAAAACGUCCGUAGCCGGUUCUAUAAAUGCCUGGGUAAAUCGUACGGCUUAACCGUACGAAUUCCGGGUAGACUGUUCAACUUGGGACCGGGAGAGGCUAGAGGUACUCCUGGGGUAGAGGUGAAAUUCUGUAAUCCUAGGGGGACCACCAGUGGCGAAGGCGUCUAGCUAGAACGGGUCUGACGGUGAGGGACGAAGCCCUGGGGAGCAAUCGGG